CACCACACAGAAAGCCAAUCACUGUGGCAAC
This 31-nucleotide non-coding RNA is filed under the name Homo sapiens (human). The record is from RNAcentral. Lineage: Eukaryota; Metazoa; Chordata; Mammalia; Primates; Hominidae.